This 118-nucleotide ribosomal RNA is filed under the name Strongylocentrotus purpuratus (purple sea urchin). The record is from RNAcentral. Lineage: Eukaryota; Metazoa; Echinodermata; Echinoidea; Camarodonta; Strongylocentrotidae.
GCCUACGACCAUACCAUGCUGAAUAUACCGGUUCUCGUCCGAUCACCGAAGUCAAGCAGCGUAGGGCCUGGUUAGUACUUGGAUGGGAGACCGCCUGGGAAUACGGUUGUUGUAGGCA